RNAcentral lists this long non-coding RNA (222 nucleotides) under Mytilus galloprovincialis (Mediterranean mussel). Lineage: Eukaryota; Metazoa; Mollusca; Bivalvia; Mytilida; Mytilidae. The record is from RNAcentral.
GGUUUUUGUCCCAACAAUUUAGUGAUAACGGGUCACAAGUUCUGUUAAUGCAUUUAGUUUGGUUUCCGCACUCUGUCGUUAAUUUGCCUUAUCCAAAAUUAUUGAAAGUCACACACAAUGUUAAUAAUCACACAAAGUUAGGCCGAGUUAGAAUUUGGGCAGUAAUUUUUUGGACAAUUAUGCCCCUGUAUAACUUAGAAAAUAGAAAAUUUUAAGCGGGGG